This 497-nucleotide ribosomal RNA is filed under the name uncultured bacterium. Its description in RNAcentral is "partial 16S ribosomal RNA". It matches the Rfam family "Bacterial small subunit ribosomal RNA", at positions 28 to 507 of the family's 1533-position model. The record is from RNAcentral.
GAUGAACGCUGGCGGCGUGCCUAAUACAUGCAAGUCGAGCGAACGGACGAGAAGCUUGCUUCUCUGAUGUUAGCGGCGGACGGGUGAGUAACACGUGGAUAACCUACCUAUAAGACUGGGAUAACUUCGGGAAACCGGAGCUAAUACCGGAGAAUAUUUUGAACCGCAUGGUUCAAAAGUGAAAGACGGUCUUGCUGUCACUUAUAGAUGGAUCCGCGCUGCAUUAGCUAGUUGGUAAGGUAACGGCUUACCAAGGCAACGAUGCAUAGCCGACCUGAGAGGGUGAUCGGCCACACUGGAACUGAGACACGGUCCAGACUCCUACUGGAGGCAGCAGUAGGGCAUCUUCCGCAAUGGGCGAAAGACUGACGGAGCAACGCCGCGUGAGUGAUGAAGGUCUUCGGAUCGUAAAACUCUGUUAUUAGGGAAGAACAUAUGUGUAAGUAACUGUGCACAUCUUGACGGUACCUAAUCAGAGAGCCACGGCUAACUACGUG